Molecule: long non-coding RNA, 403 nt
Organism: Neopsephotus bourkii (Bourke's parrot)
Lineage: Eukaryota; Metazoa; Chordata; Aves; Psittaciformes; Psittacidae
Exons: 2
Source: RefSeq, a predicted model, not a curated record
AUUCCUCCUGUCUGUGUCCUCUACAAGUUAGUAGGUUCUUUUGGAUUUAUGCAGAGUUAGUUUGGGGUUUUUUUUUCAUCCAAAAAAAAUGGGCACAAGACUGUUGGGCACACCUGGAAGAAAAGGAUAAUCAAGCACCACAGAAGGUUACCAGUGAUAAUAAAGGACGAGGUGAUGGGAGCUACCAGGUUUUGAGAACACCUACAACGAGAAUGGUAGAAAGAUAGAAAAUCUGUCACAAAGUCUCAUGUAAGAGAGACAGGACAUCCUUAAGCAAAGCUGACACAAAAUCAAGACUUUUCAAGGCAAUACCUGCAGUAAAAUAUAACUAUUCUGACACUGUCAGUCUCUGCAAACAUCUCCUGGUGCAUUAUUUUACACCUAGUAAAAAAUUUCCACAUCA